GCGCCUGUAGCUUAGUGGAUAGAGCGUUGGCCUCCGGAGCCAAAAAUUCCGGUUCAAAUCCGGAUGGGCGCG
RNAcentral lists this transfer RNA (72 nucleotides) under Endomicrobium sp. Its description in RNAcentral is "tRNA-Arg". It matches the Rfam family "tRNA". Rfam says of the family: Transfer RNA (tRNA) molecules are approximately 80 nucleotides in length. Their secondary structure includes four short double-helical elements and three loops (D, anti-codon, and T loops). Further hydrogen bonds mediate the characteristic L-shaped molecular structure. tRNAs have two regions of fundamental functional importance: the anti-codon, which is responsible for specific mRNA codon recognition, and the 3' end, to which the tRNAs corresponding amino acid is attached (by aminoacyl-tRNA synthetases). tRNAs cope with the degeneracy of the genetic code in two manners: having more than one tRNA (with a specific anti-codon) for a particular amino acid; and 'wobble' base-pairing, i.e. permitting non-standard base-pairing at the 3rd anti-codon position. The record is from RNAcentral. Lineage: Bacteria; Pseudomonadati; Elusimicrobiota; Endomicrobiia; Endomicrobiales; Endomicrobiaceae.